Molecule: ribosomal RNA, 164 nt
Filed under: uncultured bacterium
Lineage: Bacteria
Description: partial 16S ribosomal RNA
Rfam family: Bacterial small subunit ribosomal RNA
Source: RNAcentral
ACUCCUACGGGAGGCAGCCGUAGGGAAUUUUCCGCCAAGGCCGCAAAUCUGACUCCACCACACCGCGCGAGUGAAGAAGGCCUCCGGGUCGUAAAACUCUGUUAUCGGGAAGAACAAGUACCAGUUAAUAAGCUGGCACCUGACGUACACCAAAGCAGUCCUUU